Danionella cerebrum is the source of this 72-nucleotide non-coding RNA. Lineage: Eukaryota; Metazoa; Chordata; Actinopteri; Cypriniformes; Danionidae. The record is from the annotation of a GenBank genome assembly.
GGUUCUGUUGUGUAAUGGUUAGCACUCUGCACUUUGAAUCCAGUGUUCUGAGUUCAAAUCUCGGAAAGACCU